AGCUCGGGCUCGAUCGCCUUCAACCGGGCGGCGAGAGCCGUGCCCUGCAUGUCCGCGAGCGACACGUCGAUGAUGGCGGCACAGAUCUGCCGGGAGUGCGCGAGGAGGACGGCCUCUUCCCCGCGGGCGGUGUGGUAGGCGCGAAGUCCCUGCCGGACGAAGUGGCUGACGAGCUGGGCGGCGGAGUCGCGGUCGGCGUCAGCGAUCAGGAUCCAUCGCUGUUCGACCCGAUGCUUGCGUUCUGGUCCCACGGCAGCCCCGAUACUGCAUCGGGGGUGCCAUUGUGCAACUAUUUGAUUCUAAAGGAUCAAAACGUCAUUGAGGAUAUGGGAGUGCCGUCGUGUCACCCGGCCUCAGAUCAAUUAGGCACGGCCGUCAGGAGGAACUAUCGACGAAGGGG
This 400-nucleotide unclassified non-coding RNA is filed under the name uncultured bacterium. RNAcentral describes it as "contains 16S-23S intergenic spacer region". The record is from RNAcentral.